GUUAAAAUGCUCGUAGUUCAAUUUCUGUCGAGAGUGACCAGUCCACCCACGGGGUGAGUAUAUUGUUUGUUUUCGGCAUAAUUACGAAUAGUGCUGCAGUACUUGAUUGUGCCGUAUGUUCUAUUCUUACAUAAUACUUUGAGGAAAUUAGAGUGCUUCGAGCAUGCAUACGCACCGAACACAUUAGCAUGGAAUAAGAAUAUCGGAUCGCCGCUGUAUUCGACUGGUUUUUAUAGCUGCGGUAAUGACGAAUAG
RNAcentral lists this ribosomal RNA (255 nucleotides) under uncultured marine alveolate. Its description in RNAcentral is "partial 18S ribosomal RNA". It matches the Rfam family "Eukaryotic small subunit ribosomal RNA", at positions 618 to 875 of the family's 1831-position model. The record is from RNAcentral.